UACGAAGGGUGCAAGCGUUAAUCGGAAUUACUGGGCGUAAAGCGUGCGCAGGCGGCUUUGCAAGACAGAUGUGAAAUCCCCGGGCUCAACCUGGGAACUGCAUUUGUGACUGCAAGGCUUGAAUCUGGCAGAGGGGGAUGGAAUUCCGCGUGUAGCAGUGAAAUGCGUAGAUAUGCGGAGGAACACCAAUGGCGAAGGCAAUCCCCUGGGCCUGUACUGACGCUCAUGCACGAAAGCGUGGGGAGCAAACAGG
This 253-nucleotide ribosomal RNA is filed under the name uncultured bacterium. Its description in RNAcentral is "partial 16S ribosomal RNA". It matches the Rfam family "Bacterial small subunit ribosomal RNA", at positions 524 to 776 of the family's 1533-position model. The record is from RNAcentral.